ACCAGACUCCUACGGGAGGCAGCAGUGGGGGAUAUUGCACAAUGGGGGGAACCCUGAUGCAGCGACGCCGCGUGGGUGAAGGAGUGCUUCGGCAUGUAAAGCCCUAUCGGCAGGGAAGAAGCAAGACGGUACCUGACUAAGAAGCCCCGGCUAACUACGUGCCAGCAGCCGCGGUAAUACGUAGGGGGCAAGCGUUAUCCGGAUUUACUGGGUGUAAAGGGAGCGUAGACGGCGAUGCAAGCCGGAUGUGAAAGCCCGGGGCUCAACCCCGGGACUGCAUUUGGAACUGUGUGGCUGGAGUGUCGGAGAGGCAGGCGGAAUUCCCAGUGUAGCGGUGAAAUGCGUAGAUAUUAGGAGGAACACCAGUGGCGAAGGCGGCCUGCUGGACGAUGACUGACGUUGAGGCUCGAAAGCGUGGGGAGCAAACAGGAUUAGAUACCCCUGUAAGU
This 449-nucleotide ribosomal RNA is filed under the name uncultured bacterium. RNAcentral's name for it is "bacterial SSU rRNA". It matches the Rfam family "Bacterial small subunit ribosomal RNA", at positions 330 to 794 of the family's 1533-position model. The record is from RNAcentral.